Long non-coding RNA from Helianthus annuus (common sunflower), 273 nucleotides. RefSeq lists it as uncharacterized. NCBI's taxonomy places the organism in Eukaryota, Viridiplantae, Streptophyta, Magnoliopsida, Asterales, Asteraceae. The record is from RefSeq and is a predicted model, not a curated record. The transcript has 3 exons.
GUUCUGGUCGAACAAACAAGGGGGGAAGCAAGAGGAUGAACCCUAUUUCACCAAAUUCACAAGAAUUAAGUGAAAUCUUGAGAAAAUUAAAGGUGUAAACAACGAAUUCAAGGCUCCUACAUCUGUUCUCCGAAUUGGCAUAAAGGAAGAAGGUUCAUGCUCUAAGAAGUCGGAAGGCUCUCAGGAUCGAGGUUAACUGUCUCAUCCACUCAGAAUCCUUUUCCCAAUCCUUCUUCGUGCGUUAUUACAAGAAUUCUCAUACGCAACCAAUGU